This is a long non-coding RNA of Mugil cephalus (flathead mullet), 815 nucleotides long. RefSeq lists it as uncharacterized. NCBI's taxonomy places the organism in Eukaryota, Metazoa, Chordata, Actinopteri, Mugiliformes, Mugilidae. The record is from RefSeq and is a predicted model, not a curated record. The transcript has 4 exons.
CAGCACUAUCACUUCCAAAAGACAGCAAUUACCUCCCUCUCUUGUGGAAACGGUGGACCAGUGUGCUUGCCAAGCAGAGAUGAGACAGAUGAUCUUUUCUACUGUUUUGACAGCAAGUGAAGAACUGAAAGUGUGUCUGAACCACAAUUACAGACGCGCAUUCAUCCGCUAUCCCAUGAUCUGACGUCCUGACAGCUGACGAAUGUAAAGUGACAGUGGCCGAGAUAGAGAAACACGCAGACCUCAUUAUAACUUCAAGGCUGGCAGACAGUGCAUUGCACCUACAAUUAUGCGGUGGGUUCUACCAAAAGACAACAACAUGAAAAAAAAAGAAGAAGAAGGAGAAGAUGAAGAGGAAGAGGAAGAAGAAGACCCAAUAAAGGAGGAGGGGAAAAGCAGGAGGGCAGAUCGCAAGUUCGCAGCCUGCAGGGAGUCUGAUUUCUGCGGCAGCUGUUUGUCGACUCGAGGGGGAGAUGUCGGUGAAAAGAAGUCCCUUUAUUAAGACACUUUAAACUGACCAUCUGCACAGCUUUCUGCACAUCCGCCGAGAUCGCGCCAUUGUGGGCAAACAAAUGCUGCACGGUAUAAAACCACCUUUCAUUAACUGACUUUAGAGGAACGAGUGCAAAAACCGCUCGUGGCUAAAUCAAUCUCGCCAAGAUCUGAUCUCAGCUUUUAAUUAAUUUCUAAUGCAUUAAAAAAUAUAUAUUACGUACUAGUGCCUCUUUCUGUGGUUUAUAUAACAUACAUAGGUUUAAUCACUGCAGACAGAUUUUAAAAGCAUGCAAUAAAAUGUAACUGAAAAUGACAGAAGA